CAAAUGAGGCUACAAAAUUUCAGAAUUCAAUAGAAGAACUGCAAAAGAAGAUAGAAGAAACAAAUACAUUGCUAGUAAAGGAACGAGAGGCUGCAAAGAAGGCUAUUGAAGAAGCACCUCCUGUUAUCAAAGAAACUCAAGUACUUGUUGAAGAUACAAAGAAAGUUGAGUCUCUAACAGCAGAAGUGGAAAAACUAAAGGAAUCUUUGGAUUCUGAGAAACAAAGAGCUGAUAGCAAUGAAAAGAAAUACAAUGAAGUCCGAGAGUCUAGUGAGGAAAGACAAAAAAAAUUAGAUGACACUGAGAAAAAGUUUCAACAGCUUCAGGAAUCUUUGCAGAGGCUAGAAGAGAAGCUCACAAAUUUAGAAUCAGAGAAUCAAGUUCUGCGGCAACAGGCUGUGUCCAUGGCACCAAAUAAGUUUCUUUCAGGACGCUCCAGAUCAAUUAUGCAGCGGGCCGAAAGUCACAUUCCAGUGGAAGCAAAGGCAGGCUUGGAACUGCAUAGCGCUUCCAUAAACCAUAGGGACCUCUCUGAAGUAGAUGAUAAACCUCAAAAGUCACUAAAUGAGAAACAACAAGAGAACCAGGAGUUGCUUAUUCGCUGCAUUGCACAACACCUAGGCUUUUCAGGGAACAGACCCAUUGCUGCCUGUAUCAUAUACAAAUGCCUUCUGCAAUGGAGAUCAUUUGAAGUUGAGCGGACUAGUGUCUUUGAUCGGAUAAUUCAGACCAUAGGCCACGCUAUUGAGACACAGGAUAACAAUGAUGUAUUGGCAUACUGGUUAUCCAAUGCAUCAACACUUCUCUUGCUACUUCAGCG
Molecule: unclassified non-coding RNA, 820 nt
Filed under: Hevea brasiliensis (rubber tree)
Lineage: Eukaryota; Viridiplantae; Streptophyta; Magnoliopsida; Malpighiales; Euphorbiaceae
Source: RNAcentral